RNAcentral lists this non-coding RNA (30 nucleotides) under Rattus norvegicus (Norway rat). The record is from RNAcentral. Lineage: Eukaryota; Metazoa; Chordata; Mammalia; Rodentia; Muridae.
UGCACUGUUAUCACAUCUCCCUACUCCACU